This is a small nucleolar RNA of Gorilla gorilla gorilla (western lowland gorilla), 94 nucleotides long. Ensembl annotates it as small nucleolar RNA, C/D box 111. Its record names the gene SNORD111. The record is from Ensembl. NCBI's taxonomy places the organism in Eukaryota, Metazoa, Chordata, Mammalia, Primates, Hominidae.
CAGCCUGAAAUGAUGACUCUUUAAAAAAUUUCAUGUCUCUUCUCUGACAUUUUUCUCUGGAGACAGUUUUUGCCUUAUGAAUCUGAUCAGGCUG